GUAGGGAAUCUUGCGCAAUGGGCGAAAGCCUGACGCAGCCAUGCCGCGUGAAUGAUGAAGGUCUUAGGAUUGUAAAAUUCUUUCACCGGGGACGAUAAUGACGGUACCCGGAGAAGAAGCCCCGGCUAACUUCGUGCCAGCAGCCGCGGUAAUACGAAGGGGGCUAGCGUUGCUCGGAAUUACUGGGCGUAAAGGGAGCGUAGGCGGAUAGUUUAGUCAGAGGUGAAAGCCCAGGGCUCAACCUUGGAAUUGCCUUUGAUACUGGCUAUCUUGAGUAUGGAAGAGGUAUGUGGAACUCCGAGUGUAGAGGUGAAAUUCGUAGAUAUUCGGAAGAACACCAGUGGCGAAGGCGACAUACUGGUCCAUUACUGACGCUGAGGCGCGAAAGCGUGGGGAGCAAACAGGAUUAGAUACCCUGGUAGUCC
Molecule: ribosomal RNA, 425 nt
Filed under: uncultured bacterium
Lineage: Bacteria
Description: partial 16S ribosomal RNA
Rfam family: Bacterial small subunit ribosomal RNA
Source: RNAcentral